Peromyscus californicus insignis is the source of this 483-nucleotide long non-coding RNA. RefSeq lists it as uncharacterized. The transcript is spliced from 2 exons. The record is from RefSeq and is a predicted model, not a curated record. NCBI's taxonomy places the organism in Eukaryota, Metazoa, Chordata, Mammalia, Rodentia, Cricetidae.
GGGAGCGCGCGAGGCUGGGAACACUGUGGGGGGAGGGAAUCAGGGAGGAGCCGAAGGAGAAACAAGAUGCUUGAACAUUUGUAGACCGAAACGACCCUCUUAGAGGAGUCCGUCGGGAAAGCUGUGGGCUGAUCCUCCCCGGGGACUCGUUCAGAUACACGGGAGCUCAGAGAGUGGACAACUCCGCAGAACGUAGCACCGCGACUGAGCCUCUUUCACGCGGGAACCUCUGCCGGAGGGGCUCCAACAUGGCAACCCAAGACCCACAAACUCUGGUACACACCGAUACUCAGACAAGGACUAGGCUGGUCUUGACUUCACCAUGGAGCCCAGGCUGACUCUACACCCAUGGCCAUCCUGCGUAAGCCAGAAAGGAUGCUUCAGUUUCUCAGAAGCCCAGCUCAUCCUGGCUGCACGCACUUCGUGAGAGACACUUUCCAUCUCUUGGGUACUCAGUAAACUAACAGGCACUUUCUAAUUUUA